RNAcentral lists this ribosomal RNA (836 nucleotides) under Streptomyces sp. IM-6979. RNAcentral describes it as "bacterial SSU rRNA". It matches the Rfam family "Bacterial small subunit ribosomal RNA", at positions 38 to 889 of the family's 1533-position model. Lineage: Bacteria; Bacillati; Actinomycetota; Actinomycetes; Kitasatosporales; Streptomycetaceae. The record is from RNAcentral.
GGCGGCGUGCUUAACACAUGCAAGUCGAACGAUGAAGCCCUUCGGGGUGGAUUAGUGGCGAACGGGUGAGUAACACGUGGGCAAUCUGCCCUGCACUCUGGGACAAGCCCUGGAAACGGGGUCUAAUACCGGAUACGAGCCUCCCGGGCAUCUGGGAGGUUGGAAAGCUCCGGCGGUGCAGGAUGAGCCCGCGGCCUAUCAGCUUGUUGGUGAGGUAACGGCUCACCAAGGCGACGACGGGUAGCCGGCCUGAGAGGGCGACCGGCCACACUGGGACUGAGACACGGCCCAGACUCCUACGGGAGGCAGCAGUGGGGAAUAUUGCACAAUGGGCGAAAGCCUGAUGCAGCGACGCCGCGUGAGGGAUGACGGCCUUCGGGUUGUAAACCUCUUUCAGCAGGGAAGAAGCGAAAGUGACGGUACCUGCAGAAGAAGCGCCGGCUAACUACGUGCCAGCAGCCGCGGUAAUACGUAGGGCGCAAGCGUUGUCCGGAAUUAUUGGGCGUAAAGAGCUCGUAGGCGGCUUGUCGCGUCGAUUGUGAAAGCCCGGGGCUUAACUCCGGGUCUGCAGUCGAUACGGGCAGGCUAGAGUGUGGUAGGGGAGAUCGGAAUUCCUGGUGUAGCGGUGAAAUGCGCAGAUAUCAGGAGGAACACCGGUGGCGAAGGCGGAUCUCUGGGCCAUUACUGACGCUGAGGAGCGAAAGCGUGGGGAGCGAACAGGAUUAGAUACCCUGGUAGUCCACGCCGUAAACGGUGGGCACUAGGUGUUGGCGACAUUCCACGUCGUCGGUGCCGCAGCUAACGCAUUAAGUUCCCCGCCUGGGGAGUACGGCCGC